GCCCAAGAGAUCGGGAUAACACCUGGAAACAGAUGCUAAUACCGGAUAACAACAGAUGAUGCCUAUCAACUGUUUAAAAGAUGGUUCUGCUAUCACUCUUGGAUGGACCUGCGGUGCAUUAGCUAGUUGGUAGGGUAACGGCCUACCAAGGCGAUGAUGCAUAGCCGAGUUGAGAGACUGAUCGGCUACAUUGGGACUGAGACACGGCCCAAACUCCUACGGGAGGCAGCAGUA
Molecule: ribosomal RNA, 234 nt
Filed under: uncultured Lactobacillus sp.
Lineage: Bacteria; Bacillati; Bacillota; Bacilli; Lactobacillales; Lactobacillaceae
Description: partial 16S ribosomal RNA
Rfam family: Bacterial small subunit ribosomal RNA
Source: RNAcentral